UCCCUGUCCUCCAGGAGCUCACGUGGGUCAGGCUGUGAGCGCCUCGAGGGCAGAGCCC
RNAcentral lists this microRNA precursor (58 nucleotides) under Dasypus novemcinctus (nine-banded armadillo). RNAcentral's name for it is "microRNA dno-mir-339 precursor". Its record names the gene dno-mir-339. The record is from miRBase by way of RNAcentral. Lineage: Eukaryota; Metazoa; Chordata; Mammalia; Cingulata; Dasypodidae.